Molecule: ribosomal RNA, 649 nt
Filed under: uncultured bacterium
Lineage: Bacteria
Description: bacterial SSU rRNA
Rfam family: Bacterial small subunit ribosomal RNA (bases 1-544)
Source: RNAcentral
CCUACGGGAGGCAGCAGUGGGGAAUAUUGGACAAUGGGGGAAACCCUGAUCCAGCGACGCCGCGUGUGUGAAGAAGGCCUGCGGGUUGUAAAGCACUUUUAGUGGGGAUGAAAAGCCUAGGGUUAACACCUCUGGGUCUUGACCUAACCCACAGAAAAAGCACCGGCUAACUCUGUGCCAGCAGCCGCGGUAAUACAGAGGGUGCAAGCGUUAAUCGGAAUUACUGGGCGUAAAGCGUGCGUAGACGGUUAUUUAAGUCAGGUGUGAAAGCCCCGGGCUCAACCUGGGAAUUGCAUUUGAGACUGAAUAGCUAGGGUGCGGAAGAGGGAAGCGGAAUUUCCGGUGUAGCGGUGAAAUGCGUAGAUAUCGGAAGGAACACCAGUGGCGAAAGCGGCUUCCUGGUCCAGCACCGACGUUCAGGCACGAAAGCGUGGGGAGCAAACAGGAUUAGAUACCCUGGUAGUCCACGCCAUAAACGAUGAGGACUAGACGUUGAGAGGGUAAGCCUCCCAGUGUCGCAGCUACGACGAUAAGUACCUCCGUCCGUCGGGGUAGGUACCGGGCCGGCCGAACGGUUAGGUAAACGUACGUAAACGGUAAAGUUAGUUACGGGCGUGAGACGUGCCGACGGCGACGACGAGGGAGGAGG